Macaca mulatta (Rhesus monkey) is the source of this 1172-nucleotide non-coding RNA. Lineage: Eukaryota; Metazoa; Chordata; Mammalia; Primates; Cercopithecidae. The record is from RefSeq and is a predicted model, not a curated record.
GAGAAGUCCUUCCUCAGGAAGGAACCUCUGCCUGGCCUUCAGCAGGGCCACCAUCAUGUGCGAUAUUCACUUAGAGCCUUAUCACAUUUGUGGCUGUGGAGGUAAGGAAGCUGGGACUCAGAGAAAUUAAGGGACUUGGUGAAGCAGAGAAUGUCAAGGGAAUUGAUUCAGUAGUGGACAGGGAGUCCUUGAAGAUUGUUAAGCAGUGAAGAGACCUGAUCAAAUACUAAAAAAGUACAUUCAACGGUAAGAAGAUCAACUAAGAGCUACAGGGAAUGGGAAGUAGCCAUGAGAAGCCCUGGAGCUGCUGGAUACUCUGCAAGGCCAUCCUCCUGUAACUAAGGUCACUCUAUUGCACCGUCAAAUCCAAAUAUAUCUUAGCUGGAAGGACCUGCGCAUCACCUAUCAACCCUUCACUUCAUAAACGUGUCUUCAUGGUUCACAAAGACUGGUGCCAGCAUCAUCACACGGACACUUGUGACGCUCUAGAAGGACUACAAAAGCUAAAGGAUUUAUCAGCCAGAGAGGAAGACUGAUGAGAGAUGGGGACAGACACUAGUUGUGCUGCCUGCUUUGCCAGGGCGUGAUUUAGAAGAUGAAUGUUUAUAACAUGACCUAAGGAAUUUCAUCCUUCUCUGGAAAACUGUGUAGGAGAGAAUCCUGAUGGACAAAGAAUAAUGUGUUCUGGGCUCCAGCCAAAUAUUUGGACUUGUUUGAAAAGGCCUCGGUGCUCACCUUCUGCUGUUUAUUGCAAACUCAUCACCUCAUGAUUGUCCCUAGCUGGCUCAGAAGGGAGUGGUGACAAAUGAGCAUCUCCUUUGUUUUCAUGCAGAAACCACUUUGCAGUGAUGAUGUGUUAAUUCUUUAUUAAGUGACUUCCUGACCAAACACCUUAAAAGGCCAUGUAACUCUCCCCUCCUGCAUUGCAUUUGUAGGGGAAAGGAGAGGGUAUGGAGCAUGAAAGGCAAAUCAGAUCUAUGUACUGGGGGUAUCUAGGCAGAAAAGCAGUUCCUUGUGAAUGGAAAACAGCUCAGCAGUGUCCGUCCCCUGCCAGGUUCUUGGGAGGUGGUUUGCUAUAGUGGAACACCAGAUUUGUUGCUGAUCUUGGUUAAAUCACAUAGGGAAGUGAUAUAACCUCUUUGAACCUCAGUUUCUUCUUCUGCAAAAAGAAC